CCAGACUCCUACGGGAGGCAGCAGUGGGGAAUAUUGGGCAAUGGGCGCAAGCCUGACCCAGCAACGCCGCGUGAAGGAAGAAGGCUUUCGGGUUGUAAACUUCUUUUAAGAGGGAAGAGUAGAAGACGGUACCUCUUGAAUAAGCCACGGCUAACUACGUGCCAGCAGCCGCGGUAAUACGUAGGCGGCAAGCGUUGUCCGGAUUUACUGGGUGUAAAGGGGGCGCAGACGGCAGCGCAAGCCAGGAGUGAAAGCCCGGGGCCCAACCCCGGGACUGCUCUUGGAACUGCGCGGCUGGAGUGCAGGAGGGGCAGGCGGAAUUCCUGGUGUAGCGGUGAAAUGCGUAGAUAUUAGGAGGAACACCAGUGGCGAAGGCGGUCUGCUGGACAGCAACUGACGGUGAGGCGCGAAAGCGUGGGGAGCAAACAGGAUUAGAUACCCUCGUAGAA
RNAcentral lists this ribosomal RNA (449 nucleotides) under uncultured bacterium. RNAcentral describes it as "partial 16S ribosomal RNA". It matches the Rfam family "Bacterial small subunit ribosomal RNA", at positions 331 to 795 of the family's 1533-position model. The record is from RNAcentral.